ACGGAAGGCAGCAGUGGGGGAUAUUGCACAAUGGGCGCAAGCCUGAUGCAGCGAUGCCGCGAGAGUGAAGAAGGUUUUCGGAUUGUAAACCUCUGUCAACAGGGACGAAAAUGACGGUACCUGUGAAGGAAGCUCCGGCUCACUACGUGCCAGCAGCCGCGGUAAUACGUAGGGAGCAAGCGUUAUCCGGAAUUACUGGGUGUAAAGGGAGUGUAGGCGGGACUGUAAGUCAGAUGUGAAAUAUACCGGCUCAACUGGUAGACUGCAUUUGAAACUGCGGUUCUUGAGUGAAGUAGAGGUAAGCGGAAUUCCUAGUGUAGCGGUGAAAUGCGUAGAUAUUAGGAGGAACAUCAGUGGCGAAGGCGGCUUACUUGGCUUUAACUGACGCUGAGGCUCGAAAGCGUGGGGAGCAAACAGGAUUAGAUACCCUGGUA
RNAcentral lists this ribosomal RNA (434 nucleotides) under uncultured Ruminococcus sp. Its description in RNAcentral is "partial 16S ribosomal RNA". It matches the Rfam family "Bacterial small subunit ribosomal RNA", at positions 341 to 792 of the family's 1533-position model. Lineage: Bacteria; Bacillati; Bacillota; Clostridia; Eubacteriales; Oscillospiraceae. The record is from RNAcentral.